CCACUUCUGUGUCACUUACCAGUUCUUCCACUGGAAGAAGGGGACGCCAUUUGCAGAAGACCAGGGGAUCUAUAAUGGGCUAACUUGGUGGGAACAGGUAGACAAUGGGAAGCAACUUACACGCAACAGAAAGUUCCUAACCGUUGUUCCUGUGGUGCUGUACUUGAUAGCCUCACACACGACCGACUAUCAACAUCCAAUGCUCUUCUUCAA
This 213-nucleotide unclassified non-coding RNA is filed under the name Hevea brasiliensis (rubber tree). Lineage: Eukaryota; Viridiplantae; Streptophyta; Magnoliopsida; Malpighiales; Euphorbiaceae. The record is from RNAcentral.